Molecule: non-coding RNA, 1116 nt
Organism: Pelodiscus sinensis (Chinese soft-shelled turtle)
Lineage: Eukaryota; Metazoa; Chordata; Testudines; Trionychidae
Source: RefSeq, a predicted model, not a curated record
AUGUUCUUCAUACACAGAAGGAAAUCUUUGAUUGUAUCUAGCCUUGGGUAUAGUUAAGUAGCAACAUAACAUGGACCAAAACAAUCAAGAUGAACACACAGUUAACACAUCCUAAUUUAUAGAUAUCCCAGCACCUUAAGAAAUGCAUCAGGGAGUUUUAGAUGAAGUACAAAAGCAUUAGUAGAAAAAGCUAUGUCUGUCUGCUGUACCACAGUACUGAAAGCAUAAAUAAGUUCAUUUCACUGCUAACAAUUCAGCAGAAAAAUGCUAAUGCAUUGUACUAGAUGGGAGUGAAGUUUGGGGCCCAGGUUUAACAGAUAAUUAUGUCAAUUGGGUCAUAAAAUUAAUUAAAGGAAACCCUAUAACUACAGUGCUGCUAACAAAAUCUGGGGUCAUGGGAACUCCAACAUGAACAGCUACAGAGCAGAAUUAUGAUCAUGCCACCGAUUCAACCAAUUUACAGACAAGAACACCCAACUUUUGGUGUCAUUUCAAUCAAAACAGCAAAGUGCUCAAAAUUAAAAUACCAAACCCAAGUGAAGAGACAAAGCACUCCUGUAUCACAUCUCUCAUAAAUCACAACAGCAUUAGUCUGACCAGUGACAGAGAUCCUCACCCAAAACCAAACCACGCGUGAGAAACUAGUUUGGAUCCUAAAAUGCAAAUACAUAUAUGCAAACGUCUGGGGGAGAGGGGAGACAAAAAAUUAGAUUUCUCUAUAUGUUCUCACACGCGUGUAUUCUGCCAACAGAGUGAUUCACCAAAGUGAAAUGUGCAAAAGUAAGGUGGAGUAUCACUAAAUACAGAACAAAUGGCAUAAUGGAGAGAUGGAAAACGGAAAACAGAGAAAAUGAGAGCAGAAUGACUUGUGCAUCAACUGUGAUGCAAAAACUGAAGAUUCCUGCUUUUGAACAAACUGCUCACAGACCCCUGUUAUGUGAAUCUUUUCCCUGAGUAGCACUUUCUGAACUCAGCAAUGUCUCGACAGGACUGCAGUGAAAGCUAUCUGAAAAAUAUGCCUGUCAAAGGACCCUUCUUUGAAUGGAAGCUGAUGGGAGACCAAGAUCAAAUUAAGUGCUUGAAGAGACUGGGAACCCAUGGCCUGGAUGGAAUGAG